UCGUCGAUGACUAGCUCGAUGCUGCAGCUGUGUGUCUAGUUCUUUGACCUGAGGUACAUCGACAGUUCACCUUGAGUGUGUUAUAGUUUGACUACACCAUAACUCGAUCUCCUAGCCAUUUGGAAUCCUGAGGUGUAUGUUGGCUAUAGCAUAUUCAUUGUAGGAAUCAGAUUGCACCAAGAUGGGAUCUAUCAACCUCG
This 200-nucleotide long non-coding RNA is filed under the name Elaeis guineensis (African oil palm). RNAcentral describes it as "long non-coding RNA (EGUI_LNC076201)". Lineage: Eukaryota; Viridiplantae; Streptophyta; Magnoliopsida; Arecales; Arecaceae. The record is from RNAcentral.